Molecule: ribosomal RNA, 414 nt
Filed under: uncultured bacterium
Lineage: Bacteria
Description: bacterial SSU rRNA
Rfam family: Bacterial small subunit ribosomal RNA
Source: RNAcentral
GGGCCCGCACAAGCGGUGGAGCAUGUGGUUUAAUUCGAUGAUACGCGAGGAACCUUACCAGGGCUUAAAUGUAGUGGGACAGGUCUAGAGAUAGACCCUUCUUCGGACUCAUUACAAGGUGCUGCAUGGUUGUCGUCAGCUCGUGCCGUGAGGUGUCAGGUUAAGUCCUAUAACGAGCGCAACCCCUACCGUUAGUUGCCAGCGUGUAAUGACGGGGACUCUAACGAAACUGCCAGUGCAAACUGUGAGGAAGGUGGGGAUGACGUCAAAUCAUCACGGCCCUUACGUCCUGGGCUACACACGUGCUACAAUGGCCGGUACAGAGAGCAGCCACUUCGCAAGAAGGAGCGAAUCUAUUAAAACCGGUCUCAGUUCGGAUCGGAGUCUGUAACUCGACUCCGUGAAGCUGGAAUC